Molecule: transfer RNA, 58 nt
Filed under: Haementeria acuecueyetzin
Lineage: Eukaryota; Metazoa; Annelida; Clitellata; Rhynchobdellida; Glossiphoniidae
Description: tRNA-Ser
Source: RNAcentral
AGAGAUUAAAUAUAAAGCUUCUAACUUUUUUAAGAUGGUUAAAAUCCAUCAAUCUCUU